RNAcentral lists this long non-coding RNA (770 nucleotides) under Trifolium pratense (red clover). RNAcentral describes it as "long non-coding RNA (TPRA_LNC012695)". The record is from RNAcentral. Lineage: Eukaryota; Viridiplantae; Streptophyta; Magnoliopsida; Fabales; Fabaceae.
CUUUUGGCCCCCUAAAUUUCAAAAAGUUGCUAUUUUGGCCUCCUAUGUUUCAAAAUAGCAAUUUUGGCCCCCUAUGUUUACCCCUUUUGCAAAAUAAAAGUUCAAGACACUUUUCUAAAUGAAAGUUCAAGAUACUUUUCUAAAUCAAAAUGACAUAACAAAUCAAGUCAUUACAUAUAUGAAGUCAUUACAUAAUUAAAAAGACAUAACAAAAAGCACGAAGAUUUUCAAUUUCCAUUGUUUCCUAUUUUUGGAUUUGGAAUUAGGUUUUUUUUUUACGUAUAGUGAAAAAUCCUUUUGAAUAAACGUCACGAAGUAUUUGGUUAAUUCUUUAGGAUUUGAGAUUAUAUAUGUGUGUUAGUGAAAGAAUAAAUUAUUUUUUUUUUGAACAUAGUGAAAGAAUAAAUUUAAAGCAUGUGACUUCUUCCUUUUAUUUUUUUAUUCUUUUAGUUUUUUUAAUUAUAAGAUGACAAAAAAAUGUUGACGUGGCAGCUGAGUCACUUAAGUGACUUGCCACAUUAACUUUGACUCGAUCAAAAUUGACCUUUUGCAAAAGGGGUAAAGAUAGGGGCCAAAAGUGCUAUUUUGAAACAUAGGUGGCCAAAAUCGCAACUACUGAAACUUAGGGGGCCAAAAUUGCUAUUUUGAAACAUAGGGGGCCAAAAUCGCAACUUUUUGAAACUUAGGGGGCUAUAGGUGUUAUUUUGAAACAUAAGGGGCCAAAAUUGCAAGUUUCUGAAACUUAGGGGGCCAAAAGUGCAAUUUAGCCU